AUUGAACGCUAGCGGGAUGCUUUACACAUGCAAGUCGAACGAGUGGCGGACGGGUGAGUAAUGUAUGGGGACUGCCCGAUCGAGGGGGAUAACUACUGGAAACGGUAGCUAAUACCGCAUACUAUCGGAUAACCCAUAGGGGAUGAGCUAGUGGGUGUGGUAAUGGUUCACCUAGGCGACGAUCCCUAGCUGGUCUGAGAGGAUGAUCAGCCACACUGGGAAUGAGACACGGCCCAGACUCCUACGGAGGCAGCAGUGGGGAAUAUUGCGCAAUGGGCGAAAGCCUGAUGCAGCCAUGCCGCGUGUAUGAAGAAGGCCCUAGGGUUGUAAAGUACUGUCAGUCGGGAGGCGUUACCGACAGAAGAAGCACCGGCUAACUCCGUGCCAGCAGCCGCGGUAAUUC
RNAcentral lists this ribosomal RNA (403 nucleotides) under uncultured bacterium. RNAcentral describes it as "partial 16S ribosomal RNA". It matches the Rfam family "Bacterial small subunit ribosomal RNA", at positions 30 to 526 of the family's 1533-position model. The record is from RNAcentral.